UGCCGGCCUGAGAGGGUGAUCGGCCACACUGGGACUGAGACACUGCCCAGACUCCUACGGGAGGCUGCAGUCGAGGAUCAUUGGCAAUGCGCGAAAGCGUGACCAUGCGACGCUGCGUGGAGGAUGACGGCCUUCGGGUUGUAAACUCCUGUCAUUCGGGAAAAACUGUCCCGAUAUUAAUAGUAUUGGGAUUUGAUGGUACCGAAAGAGGAAGCCACGGCUAACUCUGUGCCAGCAGCCGCGGUAAUACAGAGGUGGCGAGCGUUGUUCGGAUUUACUGGGCGUAAAGCGUGCGUAGGUGGUUUUGUAUGUCGGAUGUGAAAGCCCACGGCUCAACCGUGGAAUUGCAUCCGAAACUGCGAAGCUCGAGUGCAGGAGGGGAGAGCGGAAUUCUUGGUGUAGCGGUGAAAUGCGUUGAUAUCAAGAAGAACACCGGUGGCGAAGGCGGCUCUCUGGAAUGCUACUGACACUGAGGCACGAAAGUUGGGGUAGCAAACAGGAUUAGAUACCCUGGUAGUCCCAACCGUAAACGGUGCACACUUGGUGUGGGGGGAAUUGACCCCCUCCGUGCCGGAGCUAACGCGUUAAGUGUGCCGCCUGGGGAGUACGGCCGCAAGGCUAAAACUCAAAGAAAUUGACGGGGGCCCGCACAAGCGGAGGAGCAUGUGGCUCAAUUCGAUGCAACGCGAAGAACCUUACCAGGGCUUGACAUGUAUCUGCAAAUCCUGUGAAAGCAGGACUCUUUCGAAGGUGAUACACAGGUGCUGCAUGGCUGUCGUCAGUUCGUGCCGUGAGGUGUUGGGUUAAGUCCCGCAACGAACGCAACCCUUGUGUUUAGUUGCCACCGCAGGUGAUGAGCCUGCGAGCACUCUAGACAGACUGCCCGUACAAGCGGGAGGAAGGUGGGGACGACGUCAAGUCAGUAUGGCCCUUACGCCCUGGGCUGCACACGUGCUACAAUGACUGGUACAGAGGGAAGCAAUACCGCGAGGUGGAGCAAAUCCCCAAAACCGGCCUCAGUUCGGAUUGGAGUCUGCAACUCGACUCCAUGAAGUUGGAUUCGCUAGUAACGGCGUAUCAGCUACGGCGCCGUGAAUACGUUCCCGGGCCUUGUACACACCGCCCGUCACAUCAUGAAAGCCGUCUGCACCCGAAGUCGCUGAGCUAACUUUAACGAGAGGCAAGUGCCGAAGGUGUGGGUGGUGAUU
Molecule: ribosomal RNA, 1208 nt
Filed under: metagenome
Description: bacterial SSU rRNA
Rfam family: Bacterial small subunit ribosomal RNA
Source: RNAcentral